AGGGAAAUAGCUGGGUCAAAUGGUGGUUCCAUUCCCAGCUUUCCAAGAAAUCUCCAUACCGCUUUCCAAAUUGGCUUCACCAAUUUGCAGUCCCACCAGUAAU
This 103-nucleotide microRNA precursor is filed under the name Marmota monax (woodchuck). The record is from RNAcentral. Lineage: Eukaryota; Metazoa; Chordata; Mammalia; Rodentia; Sciuridae.